This 22-nucleotide microRNA is filed under the name Glycine max (soybean). RNAcentral describes it as "gma-miR10408". Lineage: Eukaryota; Viridiplantae; Streptophyta; Magnoliopsida; Fabales; Fabaceae. The record is from miRBase by way of RNAcentral.
CGAGGACUCCUUUAAAUAGACU